RNAcentral lists this ribosomal RNA (331 nucleotides) under uncultured Anaerolineaceae bacterium. Its description in RNAcentral is "bacterial SSU rRNA". It matches the Rfam family "Bacterial small subunit ribosomal RNA", at positions 1039 to 1382 of the family's 1533-position model. Lineage: Bacteria; Bacillati; Chloroflexota; Anaerolineae; Anaerolineales; Anaerolineaceae. The record is from RNAcentral.
UGCUGCAUGGCUGUCGUCAGCUCGUGUCGUGAGAUGUUCGGUUAAGUCCGCUAACGAGCGCAACCCUCGCUGUGUGUUACAAGUGUCACACGGAACUGCCGGUCAUAAACCGGAGGAAGGUGGGGAUGACGUCAAGUCAGCAUGGCCUUUAUAUCCUGGGCUACACACACGCUACAAUGGGAAGGGACAAUAGGUUGCGAAGCCGCGAGGCGGAGCCAAUCCAGCAAAACUUCCCUCAGUUCAGAUUGCAGGCUGCAACUCGCCUGCAUGAAGUUGGAGUUGCUAGUAACCGCAGGUCAGCCAUACUGCGUUGAAUACGUUCCCGGGGCUU